CACGUAGUUAGCCGGGGCUUCUUAGUCAGGUACUGUCAUUUUCUUCCCUGCUGAUAGAAGUUUACAUACCGAAAUACUUCUUCCUUCACGCGGCGUCGCUGCAUCAGGGUUUCCCCCAUUGUGCAAUAUUCCCCACUGCUGCCUCCCGUAGGAGUUUGGGCCGUGUCUCAGUCCCAAUGUGGCCGUUCACCCUCUCAGGCCGGCUACUGAUCGUCGCCUUGGUGAGCCCUUACCUCACCAACCAGCUAAUCAGACGCGGGUCCAUCUCAUACCACCGGAGUUUUUCACACUGUCCCAUGCGAGACCGUGCGCUUAUGCGGUAUUAGCAGUCAUUUCUAACUGUUAUCCCCCUGUACUGAGGCAGGUUACCCACGCGUUACUCACCGUCCGCCACUCAGUCAAAUAAGACUUCAAACCGAAGUAAUCCGUCUUAAGUGCUUCGUCGACUUGCAUGUGUUAAGCUACGCCGCCAGCCGUUCACUCCUGUACGCCGAGGACUACAAACCUCUCCGU
RNAcentral lists this ribosomal RNA (513 nucleotides) under uncultured Lachnospiraceae bacterium. RNAcentral describes it as "partial 16S ribosomal RNA". Lineage: Bacteria; Bacillati; Bacillota; Clostridia; Lachnospirales; Lachnospiraceae. The record is from RNAcentral.